RNAcentral lists this ribosomal RNA (271 nucleotides) under uncultured bacterium. RNAcentral's name for it is "partial small subunit ribosomal RNA". It matches the Rfam family "Bacterial small subunit ribosomal RNA", at positions 26 to 285 of the family's 1533-position model. The record is from RNAcentral.
AGAAUCAACGCUGGCGGCGUGCCUAACACAUGCAAGUCGAACGCGAGAGGGGCUUCGGCCCCAAUUGAGUGGCAAACGGGUGAGUAACGCGUGGGUGACCUACCUUCGAGUGGGGGAUAACGUUUCGAAAGGAACGCUAAUACCGCAUGACAUCCUGCCCUUGAACAGGCGGAGAUCAAAGCCGGGGAUCGCAAGACCUGGCGCUUGGAGAGGGGCCCGCGUCCGAUUAGCUAGUUGGCGGGGUAACGGCCCACCAAGGCGACGAUCGGUA